Molecule: long non-coding RNA, 132 nt
Organism: Sander lucioperca (pikeperch)
Lineage: Eukaryota; Metazoa; Chordata; Actinopteri; Perciformes; Percidae
Exons: 3
Source: RefSeq, a predicted model, not a curated record
AGGGUUAGGGUUACAUGAUAACAGCUUUCUGAACCUAUUAGUAGGUGUAGCAGGCCCCUUCUAACCCAUAUCUAUGAGGCUGAUAACCACUGAUAACGCCCAUUCAAUGGAGUGUUAACUUUCGAAACGGGU